This 460-nucleotide ribosomal RNA is filed under the name uncultured bacterium. RNAcentral describes it as "partial 16S ribosomal RNA". It matches the Rfam family "Bacterial small subunit ribosomal RNA", at positions 338 to 795 of the family's 1533-position model. The record is from RNAcentral.
CCUACGGGUGGCAGCAGUGAGGAAUAUUGGUCAAUGGACGAGAGUCUGAACCAGCCAAGUAGCGUGAAGGAUGACUGCCCUAUGGGUUGUAAACUUCUUUUAUAUGGGAAUAAAACGUUCCACGUGUGGGAUUUUGUAUGUACCAUAUGAAUAAGGAUCGGCUAACUCCGUGCCAGCAGCCGCGGUAAUACGGAGGAUCCGAGCGUUAUCCGGAUUUAUUGGGUUGAAAGGGAGCGUAGGUGGAUUGAUAAGUCAGUUGUGAAAGUUUGCGGCUCAACCGUAAAAUUGCAGUUGAAACUGGCAGUCUUGAGUACAGUAGAGGUGGGCGGAAUUCGUGGUGUAGCGGUGAAAUGCUUAGAUAUCACGAAGAACUCCGAUUGCGAAGGCAGUUCACUGGACUGCAACUGACACUGAGGCUCGAAAGUGUGGGUAUCAAACAGGAUUAGAUACCCCAGUAGUC